Molecule: ribosomal RNA, 600 nt
Filed under: uncultured bacterium
Lineage: Bacteria
Description: bacterial SSU rRNA
Rfam family: Bacterial small subunit ribosomal RNA
Source: RNAcentral
UGAUGCGUAGGGGGUGUGAGAGCAUGGCCCCCACCACUGGCACUGAGACACUGGCCAGACACCUACGGGUGGCUGCAGUCGAGAAUCUUCGGCAAUGGGCGCAAGCCUGACCGAGCGACGCCGCGUGCGGGAUGAAGGUCUUCGGAUUGUAAACCGCUGUCGGAGGGGAUGAAGUGCAUGGGGGUACUCCCCUGUGUUUGACAGAGCCUCGGAGGAAGCACGGGCUAAGUUCGUGCCAGCAGCCGCGGUAAUACGAACUGUGCGAACGUUAUUCGGAAUCACUGGGCUUAAAGGGUGCGUAGGCGGCGGCUCCAGUCAGGUGUGAAAUCCCCCGGCUCAACCGGGGAACAGCGCUUGAAACUAGGUCGCUCGAGUGAGGCAGGGGUGUAUGGAACUUCCGGUGGAGCGGUGAAAUGUGUAGAGAUCGGAAGGAACGCCGGCGGCGAAAGCGGUACACUGGGCCUUGUCUGACGCUGAGGCACGAAAGCUAGGGGAGUGAACGGGAUUAGAUACCCCGGUAAUCCUAGCCGUAAACACUGAGCACUGGAGGGGAGGGGUUUCGGCCCUUUCCCUCGCAGCGAAAGCGUUAAGUGCUCCGCC